Molecule: ribosomal RNA, 766 nt
Filed under: uncultured Streptococcus sp.
Lineage: Bacteria; Bacillati; Bacillota; Bacilli; Lactobacillales; Streptococcaceae
Description: bacterial SSU rRNA
Rfam family: Bacterial small subunit ribosomal RNA
Source: RNAcentral
GAUGAACGCUGGCGGCGUGCCUAAUACAUGCAAGUAGGACGCUGAAGCUUGGUGCUUGCACCGAGCGGAUGAGUUGCGAACGGGUGAGUAACGCGUAGGUAACCUGCCUCUUAGCGGGGGAUAACUAUUGGAAACGAUAGCUAAUACCGCAUAAAAGUCGAUAUCGCAUGAUAUUGAUUUGAAAGGUGCAAUUGCAUCACUAAGAGAUGGACCUGCGUUGUAUUAGCUAGUUGGUGAGGUAACGGCUCACCAAGGCGACGAUACAUAGCCGACCUGAGAGGGUGAUCGGCCACACUGGGACUGAGACACGGCCCAGACUCCUACGGGAGGCAGCAGUAGGGAAUCUUCGGCAAUGGGGGCAACCCUGACCGAGCAACGCCGCGUGAGUGAAGAAGGUUUUCGGAUCGUAAAGCUCUGUUGUAAGAGAAGAACGAGUGUGAGAGUGGAAAGUUCACACUGUGACGGUAACUUAUCAGAAAGGGACGGCUAACUACGUGCCAGCAGCCGCGGUAAUACGUAGGUCCCGAGCGUUAUCCGGAUUUAUUGGGCGUAAAGCGAGCGCAGGCGGUUAGAUAAGUCUGAAGUUAAAGGCUGUGGCUUAACCAUAGUACGCUUUGGAAACUGUUUAACUUGAGUGCAGAAGGGGAGAGUGGAAUUCCAUGUGUAGCGGUGAAAUGCGUAGAUAUAUGGAGGAACACCGGUGGCGAAAGCGGCUCUCUGGUCUGUAACUGACGCUGAGGCUCGAAAGCGUGGGGGAGCAAACAGG